Molecule: non-coding RNA, 262 nt
Filed under: Pan troglodytes (chimpanzee)
Lineage: Eukaryota; Metazoa; Chordata; Mammalia; Primates; Hominidae
Source: RNAcentral
AGACAAACUCUUAAUGUAAAACCACCAUCAGAGCCACCCUGGAGUUAUGGCAAGGCCACCACAGUCUCCUCCAAAGGCCACUGAUAUGGAACUGGGAACCUCCCUCCAUAGAAUGCUAAAUGGCUGAUGUGAACUUGGUUAAGGAUCUAUAAUUCUUCUUAUGAAGAGGAAAGUUCUGGAAGACCAAAGAAAAUAUGUCAUGAAAUCAAGCCAUUAAGAAGUUGUGACUCCAAAAAAGUAAAAGCGUGAGCUACUGUACACA